GGAUGAACUGAGGGUAGCGGAGAAAUUCCAAUCGAACCUGGAGAUAGCUGGUUCUCUCCGAAAUAGCUUUAGGGCUAGCCUCAAGUGAUGAUUAUUGGAGGUAGAGCACUGUUUGGACGAGGGGCCCCUCUCGGGUUACCGAAUUCAGACAAACUCCGAAUGCCAAUUAAUUUAACUUGGGAGUCAGAACAUGGGUGAUAAGGUCCGUGUUCGAAAGGGAAACAGCCCAGACCACCAGCUAAGGUCCCAAAAUAUAUGUUAAGUGGAAAAGGAUGUGGCGUUGCCCAGACAACUAGGAUGUUGGCUUAGAAGCAGCCAUCAUUUAAAGAGUGCGUAAUAGCUCACUAGUCGAGUGACACUGCGCCGAAAAUGUACCGGGGCUAAACAUAUUACCGAAGCUGUGGAUUGUCCUUUGGACAAUGGUAGGAGAGCGUUCUAAGGGCGUUGAAGCAUGAUCGUAAGGACAUGUGGAGCGCUUAGAAGUGAGAAUGCCGGUGUGAGUAGCGAAAGACGGGUGAGAAUCCCGUCCACCGAUUGACUAAGGUUUCCAGAGGAAGGCUCGUCCGCUCUGGGUUAGUCGGGUCCUAAGCUGAGGCCGACAGGCGUAGGCGAUGGAUAACAGGUUGAUAUUCCUGUACCACCUAUA
This 646-nucleotide ribosomal RNA is filed under the name Staphylococcus aureus. Its description in RNAcentral is "partial 23S ribosomal RNA". It matches the Rfam family "Bacterial large subunit ribosomal RNA", at positions 802 to 1452 of the family's 2925-position model. Lineage: Bacteria; Bacillati; Bacillota; Bacilli; Caryophanales; Staphylococcaceae. The record is from RNAcentral.